This 253-nucleotide ribosomal RNA is filed under the name uncultured bacterium. RNAcentral describes it as "partial 16S ribosomal RNA". It matches the Rfam family "Bacterial small subunit ribosomal RNA", at positions 524 to 776 of the family's 1533-position model. The record is from RNAcentral.
UACGAAGGGUGCAAACGUUGCUCGGAAUUACUGGGCGUAAAGCGUGCGCAGGCGGCUUUGCAAGACAGAUGUGAAAUCCCCGGGCUCAACCUGGGAACUGCAUUUGUGACUGCAUGGCUAGAGUGCGGCAGAGGGGGAUGGAAUUCCGCGUGUAGCAGUGAAAUGCGUAGAUAUGCGGAGGAACACCGAUGGCGAAGGCAAUCCCCUGGGCCUGCACUGACGCUCAUGCACGAAAGCGUGGGGAGCAAACAGG